GAUCUUGGUAAUGUUCUGACCUCUUCAAAUUCCAAAGCUGUUAGUGGUAAAGCGGAGAGCAAUGAUAGUGGUGCUGAGUCUAAGGAAGAAGAGGCCCAAGAAGAGUUAAAAGGAGCAGAAUAGAGUGGCAGUGAUGAUAAGAAAAUGAUGAAAUAAUCAACAGAUAAGAAUUUGGAAAUCAUUGUUACCAACGUCUAUAAAGGUAGCUUUGCUCAAGAUAUACAGAGUAAUAUUCAUACUGAUUCUUCCCGGAGUACCAGAGCAGUGAAGAUGAAAAGCCUGGAGAUCAUAGCUUGCAGCAGACAGGAAACACUGUUGUCUAUGUUCACCAAGAUACAAAUGAAGAUCCCAGUGAAGAUGUUUCAGGAAUACAUCAUUUGACAAGUGAUUCCGAUAGUGAAGUAUACUGUGCUUCUAUGGAGCAAUUUGGACAAGAGUAUUACUUAGGUGGUGAUCCUACUCAGCACUUGGAAAGUUCUGGGUUUUGUGAAGAUGCUCAACAAUCUCCUGGAAAUGGCACCAUUGGGGAAAUGUGGAUGGUAGCAGUCAAAGGACAAGGUAAAAUGUAAUAAGAAGGAGAAGAUGACAGAAGUAGCAGUGGAGUGCCGCACCAUGAGAAAAGAGGUGGAAAGAGCAAGGACUUCUCCAGUGUCAGGAGAGGGAGAGUAGGGCAUAGAAUGCCACAUUUGAGUGAAGGAACCAAGGGUCAGCAAGUAGGAAGUGGAGGUAAUGGAGAACGCUGGGGCUCAGGAUGAGGGUCCAGAAGCAGCCUCAAUGAGCAUAUCACUCUUGUGCUCAUUACAAUGCAGGAUGACAUGCAGAAUGUCCUUCAGAGACUUCAUAAACUAGAGACACUAAUUGCUUUGCAGGCAAAAUUAUCUUUGCAGACAAGUAAUCAGCCCUCCUCACAGAGACAAUCUUGGUGGCCCUUUGAGAUGUUCCCUGGUGCAUUAGCUUCUGCUAUUAUAUGGCCUUUUAUUGUUCACUGGUUGGUGCAUUUGUAUUAUCAAAGAAGG
RNAcentral lists this long non-coding RNA (1016 nucleotides) under Mus musculus (house mouse). RNAcentral's name for it is "long non-coding RNA chrX:75010589-75011605". The record is from RNAcentral. Lineage: Eukaryota; Metazoa; Chordata; Mammalia; Rodentia; Muridae.